RNAcentral lists this transfer RNA (85 nucleotides) under Felis catus (domestic cat). It matches the Rfam family "tRNA". From Rfam's summary of the family: Transfer RNA (tRNA) molecules are approximately 80 nucleotides in length. Their secondary structure includes four short double-helical elements and three loops (D, anti-codon, and T loops). Further hydrogen bonds mediate the characteristic L-shaped molecular structure. tRNAs have two regions of fundamental functional importance: the anti-codon, which is responsible for specific mRNA codon recognition, and the 3' end, to which the tRNAs corresponding amino acid is attached (by aminoacyl-tRNA synthetases). tRNAs cope with the degeneracy of the genetic code in two manners: having more than one tRNA (with a specific anti-codon) for a particular amino acid; and 'wobble' base-pairing, i.e. permitting non-standard base-pairing at the 3rd anti-codon position. Lineage: Eukaryota; Metazoa; Chordata; Mammalia; Carnivora; Felidae. The record is from Rfam by way of RNAcentral.
GCCUGGGUGGCUCAGUCAGUUAAGUGUCUGACUUUGGCUCAGGUCAUGAUCUCACAGUCUGUGAGUUCGAGCCCCACAUCAGGCU